UACGAAGGGGGCUAGCGUUGCUCGGAAUUACUGGGCGUAAAGCGCACGUAGGCGGUCUUUUAAGUCGGGGGUGAAAUCCUGGAGCUCAACUCCAGAACUGCCUUCGAUACUGGAAGACUUGAGUCCGGGAGAGGUGAGUGGAACUGCGAGUGUAGAGGUGAAAUUCGUAGAUAUUCGCAAGAACACCAGUGGCGAAGGGCGGCUCACUGGCCCGGUACUGACGCUGAGGUGCGAAGCGUGGGGAGCAACAGG
This 252-nucleotide ribosomal RNA is filed under the name uncultured bacterium. Its description in RNAcentral is "partial 16S ribosomal RNA". It matches the Rfam family "Bacterial small subunit ribosomal RNA", at positions 524 to 775 of the family's 1533-position model. The record is from RNAcentral.